UUUUGUCCUUUUUAGGGCCACACCCGCAGCACAUGGAGGUUCCCAGGCUAGGUGUCUAAUUGGAGCUACAGCUGCUGGCCUACGCCAGAGCCACAGCAACAACAGAUCUGAACUGCAUCUGUGACCUACACCACAGCUCACAGCAACGCCAGAUCCUUAACCCACUGAACGAGGCCAGGGAUCGAACUCGCAACCUCAUGGUUCCUAGUCGGAUUCGUUUCCACUGGACCAUGACAGGAACUCUGAUACCUGGUCUUUCUGAGGAAUGAUAUCAAAUCAAGGGCUUAGUGCUGAUCUCUGCUAGCAAGAAGGUAGUCAGAAAUUAUCAGCCCUACCAACAGGCAGCCUCUAUUCCUGCCAUUAUCGCUACUCUGUUCAUAGGCCCACUGUGUAAGCACUAGGAUAACCAAGGAGAAAGACUGGCUAGUGUCCAUGGGUUGAGUCAUCUUAUGCAGCUGAUAUUUAGUGACUCCUGUGAGGUAGAUGCUGGUGGGACAUGAGACGUGAUGAUUCUCAGUCUGUGCGCCCACUCCCAUAAGUCUAUCCAGUGUGUCUCUCCCUCAAAAGUCUUUGUUUCUGGUUGCUAAAUCUUGAUUUUUCAACAUCUCUGGAUAACCAGACUAUUCACCAUGGCCCGUAAGUCCAUGGAUAUCCACCCUUUAGCUCAAUUCUUUAUUCACACAGCACAAAUAUACAAAUGCAUGGCUUGCAACUCUGCCAACUGGGAAGAUUUCUCUUAACUUUUCCUCAUGACCACCUCUAAGAAGGUUUAGUGUAGCGAUGAUUCACUCUUGCUUAGAAGUUAUAUAUUGAGUUCUGUUAAUUGUUGAAGGAAACGGCCCAGAAACCAUAAAUGUUUUUUGAGAGAGGUGACAGGGGAACUUGAACUUCCUGUUCAUAAAAUUUACUUGUGAUUCCUGAAUCUGCUUGAACAGUUCUAGCAUGAGGGAAAUUUUGGGUAUGGUAAAAUAUUCCUUAUUUUGAUUAGGAUGGUGAGCCAAUGAGUUCAAAACUUAUUGAACUCCAUACUAAAAUGGGUUCAUUUUAUUGAAUCCUUAAAUAAAGGUGAUUUUAACAGGUGAAAUUAAUGAAUUAGUCAAUAUUUCAAAGUCAUGGUUGUUGUUAGUCAAUUUUUGUUCUUCAUGCCUCUGGGCUACUUCAUGCCAGUUACUAAUCUGAUUACUAAAUAAAAAUUAAUUCUGUUACCAUAAGAAUGUAGGAUGAUGAUGACCACAUAGUAGGGGCAGGGAGAGUUUGUCUGGAACUCAGUGGUUCAAUAAGUGCCUAAUGGCAUUUCCAUGUAAAUUGGCAAUUCAAGCAAAGCAGAUACAAGAAUACCUCCCCUCCCUUCUCCAUCAGUUCUUCAUACCCAUACACUUCAGAUACAAUAGAAUUCUGAGUAACUAUGUUGAAUUUCAUAAAAACUCCAGGAGCUAGAUUGUUAUUCAUGAAGUUUGGGGUGACACUUGAGGGAAGUGAUACAAGAAGGCUAGGACAAAGGAGGUACAAGAUAAGAUAUUCUUUAAUUAAAGGCUGAGGUUUUACACCUAUCUAAAGUCAGGAGUUAAGGGGCUUCUCUGAAUAUAGUAGGAAACCAGAUCUAGUCUUCUUAUAUAAAGCUGGGAACAGGGAUAACAUUGAUCUGUCCCUGAACCUGGACCUAAAAAGUAUCUUUCUAUCACUCAUAUAUAGCAGCAAUUGCUAACUUAUUCUUUAUAAAUUUUGGUACUUCUGAAUUUCUAAAAAAAAAAAUACUGAUGAUAGAAUGAGUCUAAAUUAUAACUGGGGGAACUGAUACAUUUAAUUUGGGGCAUAUUGAGUUUAAGGAGUGUUUGGGACAGCUCAAUGUCUCAAAUGUCCAGCAAGCUUAUCUACAGAAACUUAAAGAAAAGUGUGUCCCAAAGAUAUGCACUGGGAGUGAUGGAGGAAAGGACUGGAGCUAGAUGAUACCACUAAAGAAUGAUGUGUAAAAUAAGAAGAAUAUUGGGCAAAAGUCAGAAGUCGGCUGUUCACCACACUUGAAGGGUUAGGAGGAACAUAAAUGGUCACAGACAGAGCAAGGUAACUAGGAGAAGAUGGUGUUACCAACACCAAGCACAUAGAACAAGUCAACAUGCAUAAGAGAAACAUGGAAGCUGCAAAUUGGAAAACGUUCCUUGGAAUUGGCAAUGAGAUAUUAGUUCAUAAGCUUCAAGAGCAGUUUACAAAGUGUGGGAGGCUAAAAGUGAAUCACAGUGAAUUGAGGAGUAAAAGGUAAAUGAGAGAAAAGAAUACAGUUAAUAAUAUAGAAAAAGAGGAAUAAAGAUAGAGUAAGAAAUUUACAGGAGAUGUGUCAGAAGAAACAGUGGGAAAACGCAAUGUCAGGGAAACACAGUGUCAAGUUAGGUAGUUUGAGAAUGGAAUACACUCGGCUCUCUUAAAAAGUAAGGAAAAUGAGCCAGUAUCAAAGAUAAAUUAAU
This 2459-nucleotide long non-coding RNA is filed under the name Sus scrofa (pig). RNAcentral's name for it is "lncRNA (ENSSSCG00035055388.1, ENSSSCG00065012660.1)". Lineage: Eukaryota; Metazoa; Chordata; Mammalia; Artiodactyla; Suidae. The record is from RNAcentral.